This 2087-nucleotide long non-coding RNA is filed under the name Cricetulus griseus (Chinese hamster). RNAcentral's name for it is "lncRNA (ENSCGRG00000024289.1)". The record is from RNAcentral. Lineage: Eukaryota; Metazoa; Chordata; Mammalia; Rodentia; Cricetidae.
UAUUCCAACCUUUGUGCUCACCCUACUCUCUCUUUCCUUCUGUGUUCAGACAGGAGUGAUCAGAGGGAUGAACAAGCCACAGCCUCCUGGGCAGAAUUAACCCCUUUGGUGUCAUGGAAAUUAUCUUCCACAAAGGAGGAAACAUGUUACAUCAUAAAGUAGAAUGGCACCAUCCCAGAUCUGCAACCCAACACUUCAGCCAAGUACCAAACAGUUGCAGGUUAUACGCAGACAUCAAGGAAUACUCAAAAAACAAGACUCUCCAUCUGUUGUGCAUCCUGCAAGUCAUGCCCAGGGAUCUAGGGUUCUAGUUUUCAUGAGUUGUCAUCUACUCCGGGGUGAGCUUCCAGGGAUGCAGCUGUCUUCCAUGUUCCUGUAAGUCACAUAUUGUAGGAUAUUAUUUUAACUAGGCAAAGAUAUGUUGUUACCUUUGUUUAUGCUGCAUUUAUUUAAUUAUGUAAAGAUUUGUUGCAUUUGCUUCGCCUUGCCUAACUAAGGCAACUGAUUGGUCUAAUAAUUAGCUGAACAGCCAAAGCUAGGCAGUGAAAGAUUACACAGGGUUGGUGGGCAGAAGACAAUAAAUAGGAGGAAGAAUCUAGGUUCGAGAGAAGAAUGAGAAAAGAGAAUGGCAGAGAAAGAGAGGGACAGGCUUGGGGUUAGAAACCAGGCCACCAGCCAGCCAGAAAGGAGAAACAAUGAAAGUAAGAUAUACAGAAGAGAAAGGUAAAAAGUCCUGAGGCAAAACAGAGAUGAAGAGAAACACAUUAAAAUAAGAGCUAAGAUAAGGCCGAGCAUUCAUAACUAAUAAGAAGUGUUGGGUCAUGAUUUGGGAGCCAAUUGUGGCCUAAAAGAAAGCCUGCUACAGUAACAUCUCAUCCAUACUCCAGUAGGAAACUCCGGUAAACAUAGUUUUGUCAAGGGACUUUGGCAGUUUGUUGUAGAUUCUCUCUCUGGGUGAGUAGACUUACAUUCAUGUCUUUUCAGGAAUAGUGGCAUCCAAAACACCCGGUGUUUGUUCUUGGUCCGUGUUCCAUCCCUUGCCACCAUCUGCUUGCCUCUGCAUCAGUGUCCCCUUGGGUUGCAUCCUCUGACCUACCUUACUCUCUGGCUUCUGUAUCAGUUUGGGCAAUGGGAGACAUUGGUUAAAACAAGAUGGAUUGAGAGGGAAGUCCAGGCAUUUGCUCCUCCUUCUCAGUCCCUGCUUUGACUGUGUGCUGGGUUGGCUUCUCAUAUGGCUUUUAUGUUCUCUGGUUUCUGAGCAUGGCUUGGACCUACUGACUCUCUUCUGACAAAUGGAAGAUAACAAGAAGGUUUAGUUUGCACAAUGCUGUGGAUUUGUGUUGUUUAAAUAACACAUUGGAUGUGUUAUUUUGCUUGGUUGGUUAAGGUGAGCUGCUAUGGUAUAAGUAGACACCUUGGCAAAGAACAGAGGAUAUCCGCAGACUGUUCCAGGAAGGCCAGGAGUAUUUCAGUUUAAGUCUUUGAGGGACUGACUCUGCAAACAAUCGCACGAUUAAAUUUGAGCAUGGAAUGUUCUCUACCCCAGUUCUCCUUUGACUGCAGCGUUGUCAGAGACUGUGAGUCAGAGGACAGCUAAGCUGCACCUGGGCUACUGAUCUUCAGAGACACCACCAUAAGAAAUAAUGUUUUAAGGUGGCGAAUUUUGGGAUAACUGUUUUGCAAAUAAAUUCAGUACAGCAUUAUAUGUCAAUGACUGUACUCUUUAUGGCUAUGACUGUGUCUGGUGACUUUAAGCCCACAGCCUUAGCUCUCAACUGGCUCAGGCGACACCAUUCACUCUCAUUGCUUUUCAGUAUUAGGGAUGAUAGUGGCUUUCUGCUGUUGCUAGUCCUUUGCAAAAAAAAAAAAUUGAUGACACUUUAAGAUUUCCUUCCAAGAAUGCUGCUGUCUGUUAGAACUCCAACAAGUAGAACCCUUACCAUCAGAUCAUUCUCUUACUAAUAUAUUUCAAUUGGCCAGAGACUCUGAAGGUCAGAUCCUUCAUACAUUCAGAACACAGACCUUAGAUCUGUGUUACCACUCUGUAUUUACCUCAUUUUUGCAGGAUUGCCCAAGUUCUGCUGUAC